RNAcentral lists this ribosomal RNA (377 nucleotides) under uncultured bacterium. RNAcentral's name for it is "bacterial SSU rRNA". It matches the Rfam family "Bacterial small subunit ribosomal RNA", at positions 523 to 898 of the family's 1533-position model. The record is from RNAcentral.
AUACGAGUGGUGCAAGCGUUAUUCGGAAUCAUUGGGCGUACAGGGUGUGUAGGCGGCAUGUUAAGUCUGUUGUUAAAGACUCCGGCCUAACCGGAGAUGGGCAGCGGAAACUGGCAUGCUAGAGGUUGGAAGAGAGAAGCGGAAUUCUCGGUGUAGCGGUAAAAUGCGUAGAUAUCGAGAGGAACACCGAUGGCGAAGGCAGCUUCUUGGUCCAUACCUGACGCUGAAACACGAAAGCGUGGGGAGCAAACAGGAUUAGAUACCCUGGUAGUCCACGCCGUAAACGAUGAGUACUAGGUGUAGGGGGUAUCGACCCCCCCUGUGCCGCAGUAAACACAAUAAGUACUCCGCCUGGGAAGUACGAUCGCAAGAUUAAA